Molecule: non-coding RNA, 211 nt
Organism: Oryza barthii
Lineage: Eukaryota; Viridiplantae; Streptophyta; Magnoliopsida; Poales; Poaceae
Source: Rfam
AAUAAGUGUAAUUUUAGCACUGUUCAUGUUCAACGUUUGACCGUUUGUCUUAUUUGAAAAAAGAUUAUGUUUAUUAUUUUUAUUGUUAUUAGAUGAUAAAACAUGAAUAGUACUUUAUGUGUGACUAGUUUUUUUUAAUAUUUUUUAUAAAUUUUUUAAAUAAGACGGAUGGUCAAAGCGCUAAACACGGAUAUCUAUGGCUGUACUUAUU